CCUCCGGGUGUCCGCCGUCCUUGAUAUUUUUCAAUUUGGGAAACCCUGAACCAGCAACGCCGCGUGAGGGAAGACGGUUUUCGGAUUGUAAACCUCUGUCCUCUGUGAAGAUGAUGACGGUAGCAGAGGAGGAAGCUCCGGCUAACUACGUGCCAGCAGCCGCGGUAAUACGUAGGGAGCGAGCGUUGUCCGGAUUUACUGGGUGUAAAGGGUGCGUAGGCGGCUUGGCAAGUCAGUAGUGAAAUCCAUGGGCUUAACCCAUGAACUGCUAUUGAAACUGUCGAGCUUGAGUGAAGUAGAGGUAGGCGGAAUUCCCGGUGUAGCGGUGAAAUGCGUAGAGAUCGGGAGGAACACCAGUGGCGAAGGCGGCCUACUGGGCUUUAACUGACGCUGAGGCACGAAAGCGUGGGUAGCAAACAGGAUUAGAUACCCCUGUAGUC
RNAcentral lists this ribosomal RNA (440 nucleotides) under uncultured bacterium. RNAcentral's name for it is "partial 16S ribosomal RNA". It matches the Rfam family "Bacterial small subunit ribosomal RNA", at positions 338 to 795 of the family's 1533-position model. The record is from RNAcentral.